AGCGGCCCUACUACAUUUCCCGAAUCACUGCGCGUCGCCAGGCGAGCGCGGCCGAGCUGACCCGAGUCUCAGCAGUGGACGCGAGACGGGAUGAGCACUCAUGAAGCACUUCUGGAUGAUGGAGCACUGGCCCUGCCGCAGUCUCUGCACACAUAAGGCUUCUCCACACUGUGCAUCCUCUGAUGCUCCAUGAGGGAUGGACUAUUAGCUGAAACCCUUCUCACACUGUCCACACUUGUAUGUCUUCGCUGAACAAAGCUGGGAGGGAGGACCGAGGCUGGAAGUACCUGAGUUCUUCCCACACAUGGUGAAACAGUGUGUCCCCUCUCCUCCCAGUCGUUCCACUCUUGGUGGAGCCGGCACGGGGCUUUGGUGGAUGAACGUUUUAAAUUCACAACA
Molecule: long non-coding RNA, 399 nt
Organism: Artibeus jamaicensis (Jamaican fruit-eating bat)
Lineage: Eukaryota; Metazoa; Chordata; Mammalia; Chiroptera; Phyllostomidae
Exons: 4
Source: RefSeq, a predicted model, not a curated record